GACGAACGCUGGCGGCGUGCUUAACACAUGCAAGUCGAACGGAAAGGCCCUGCUUUUGUUGGGUGCUCGAGUGGCGAACGGGUGAGUAACACGUGAGUAACCUGCCCUUGACUUUGGGAUAACUUCAGGAAACUGGGGCUAAUACCGGAUAGGAUCUCCUGCUGCAUGGUGGGGAUUGGAAAGUUUCGGCGGUUGGGGAUGGACUCGCGGCUUAUCAGCUUGUUGGUGGGGUAGUGGCUUACCAAGGCUUUGACGGGUAGCCGGCCUGAGAGGGUGACCGGCCACAUUGGGACUGAGAUACGGCCCAAACUCCUACGGGAGGCAGCAGUGGGGAAUAUUGCACAAUGGGCGGAAGCCUGAUGCAGCAACGCCGCGUGCGGGAUGACGGCCUUCGGGUUGUAAACCGCUUUCGCCUGUGACGAAGCGUGAGUGACGGUAAUGGGUAAAGAAGCACCGGCUAACUACGUG
Molecule: ribosomal RNA, 468 nt
Filed under: uncultured bacterium
Lineage: Bacteria
Description: partial 16S ribosomal RNA
Rfam family: Bacterial small subunit ribosomal RNA
Source: RNAcentral